GCGUCCUCUGCGGCACAAAAGCAGAGAGGGGCGCGGGUCAGUCUCACCGCCCCGGGCCGCGGCGGGAAGUGCACGGCGGGGGCGGGGCUUCCGCGUCCCCGACCGCGCCGCCCCCUGCCUCGGCCUGGAGCCCGGGCCCCUCUCCCCGCACACCUGCGCGCGCCCGCCGCAGGGUCCCCGGUCGGCUCCCGCACCCGAGGUCCCGCCGCGCUCAAAUCCUGGCGGCCUCGCCGGACCAGACGCCCCGAAUCCCGGUAAAUCCCCAAUGCAGAGAAGCCUCGCAAAGGAGGCUUAAGACAGUCACCUCCACUUCUAUAAAACGCCUCCCAAUUUAAUCUGCCUUUGAACUCUGCAUUUAUAUAGAAUGCCAAAAGCCAACUUCCCAGGUUUCUUUGAAAUUUGAAACCACGAGGCAAAAUUAGGAACACUCUGCCCUCUUAGGGUGCUUUCUUUCAUUUCAGAACCUUGAAGCCAUACAGCAACACCCUGCUUGACAGACCGGGAGCUAAUGGCCCAAUUUUACAAACGGGUGAACUCAGAGGGCGAGCGGAAGGAAGCCACCAGCCGGCAAGGGCGGGCCGGUCUCUCCCCAGCCCAGGCUCGGCUUCCACCGACCCACGCGACACAAUGAACGCGGCCCGCAAGAGCACCGCCUUACACCAAGCUUCACCCCUACUCAGACACACCUUAAAACAUCCCUUUCCGGGGUUCGAAGCGCACCCGACAGACGGCUGCCCACGUCCCCAGCCUCGCAGCCCCAGAGGCUCGCAGCCCUACCCGGGUUUCUGGGUCCCCACCGCUUACGUGAAGGGGAGCGCCGGGCCACCAGGCUCUUCUGGAGGGCGGCCCCCCACCUUCCGCUCGGAGGCACUGCGGAGACACUGCGAGGGACUGCUGCGAACCGAGGGGAAGGGUGGCGGGCUCCCCGCCGCCACGAGAAGCCACGCCCUGCUCGGAGCGGGCGGCCGGGCAGCCAGAGUCAGAAUGACAAAGCAGAAAUCCACUCCGGUGCAGCCCUGGCGACUACGCCAACGGGCUUAGCGAAGCGAGACCUCCUAAUUGGGUGACACCACAUCCUCUUCCUGCUCAGAGCGCCCCCAACCCAAGGAAAGAGCAAAAACAACGUAAGAAUGUUUGGAACCAGAACGCAGAGACAAAUGUGUUUUAAUUAAGCAAAACUGGACCGUGCCCUAAGGCAGUGACUCGGGAACUUUGCUGCCCAUUGUGAUCACGAGAGGAUCUUGAAGAACACCGACGCCUCACUCCCACCCCCAGACAUUCUGGGUGAAUGGGUAUUAGGUGUGACCCGGGCGGGCAUCCGAGGGGUUUUUGUUUUUGUUUUUAACUCCCUGGGUGAUUCUAGUGAACUGCAAAGUUUGGGACCCUUUGCCCUAGCGUAAUGGACUUGUCAGUCUGGCAGUUCUCCAAAGGAAAUUACCAGGCUUUUAAAAGAAACAUCUAGUCCAUUCUGACUAAUCCUGAAAAGUGACAAAUUCUCACCAACACAUAACUUCCCCUUACGCCCUUCCUCCUUAACCCACUCAGGUUUUGGGCUGUCACGUUUGUUUUAGGGAAAACAGCAUAUUUAACUCCAGUCAUGCCAAGCCACCUGCAGCUGCCCAAGUGAGCCAUGCUCUCUCAUACUUCCUGCUCUUACUCCUAUUCUUACUCAGCACCUUGGAUCAGUAGGGAAGUAGGAAUAUUUGCUGAAUAAAUAAAUGAAUGAAUGAA
Molecule: long non-coding RNA, 1731 nt
Organism: Felis catus (domestic cat)
Lineage: Eukaryota; Metazoa; Chordata; Mammalia; Carnivora; Felidae
Exons: 2
Source: RefSeq, a predicted model, not a curated record